CUCCGGGAAACCGGAGCUAAUACCGGAUAACACAUAUCUUCGCAUGAGGAUAUGUUAGAAGGUGGCUUUUAGCUACCACUCAAGGAUGGGCCCGCGGCGCAUUAGCUAGUUGGUGAGGUAACGGCUCACCAAGGCGACGAUGCGUAGCCGACCUGAGAGGGUGAUCGGCCACACUGGGACUGAGACACGGCCCAGACUCCUACGGGAGGCAGCAGUAGGGAAUCUUCCGCAAUGGACGAAAGUCUGACGGAACAACGCCGCGUGAGUGAUGAAGGUUUUCGGAUCGUAAAGCUCUGUUGUUAGGGAAGAACAAGUACCUGUUGAAUAAGCAGGUACCUUGACGGUACCUAACCAGAAAGCCACGGCUAACUACGUGCCAGCAGCCGCGGUAAUACGUAGGUGGCAAGCGUUGUCCGGAAUUAUUGGGCGUAAAGCGCGCGCAGGCGGUUCCUUAAGUCUGAUGUGAAAGCCCCCGGCUCAACCGUGGAGGGUCAUUGGAAACUGGGGAACUUGAGUGCAGAAGAGGAGAGCGGAAUUCCACGUGUAGCGGUGAAAUGCGUAGAGAUGUGGAGGAACACCAGUGGCGAAGGCGGCUCUCUGGUCUGUAACUGACGCUGAGGCGCGAAAGCGUGGGGAGCGAACAGGAUUAGAUACCCUGGUAGUCCACGCCGUAAACGAUGAGUGCUAAGUGUUAGAGGGUUUCCGCCCUU
This 710-nucleotide ribosomal RNA is filed under the name Priestia endophytica. Its description in RNAcentral is "bacterial SSU rRNA". It matches the Rfam family "Bacterial small subunit ribosomal RNA", at positions 147 to 840 of the family's 1533-position model. The record is from RNAcentral. Lineage: Bacteria; Bacillati; Bacillota; Bacilli; Caryophanales; Bacillaceae.